GACGUAGGGUGCGAGCGUUGUCCGGAAUCACUGGGCGUAAAGAGCUCGUAGGCGGGGUCGCGCGUCGUGGAGUAAAUUUCUAUGCUCAACGUAGACAUCUUCUGCGAUACGGCGACUCUUGAGGACAGGAGAGGAAAGCGGAAUUCCGAGUGUAGCGGUGAAAUGCGUAGAUAUCGUAAGGAAGACCAGUGGCGAAGGCGGGUCUCUGGACAGUUCCUGACGCUGAGGCACGAAGGUCAGGGGAGCAAACGGG
This 253-nucleotide ribosomal RNA is filed under the name uncultured bacterium. RNAcentral's name for it is "partial 16S ribosomal RNA". It matches the Rfam family "Bacterial small subunit ribosomal RNA", at positions 524 to 776 of the family's 1533-position model. The record is from RNAcentral.